UACGUAGGGUCCGAGCGUUGUCCGGAAUUAUUGGGCGUAAAGAGCUCGUAGGCGGCUUGUCACGUCGGGUGUGAAAACUCGGGGCUCAACCCCGAGCCUGCACUCGAUACGGGCUAGCUAGAGUGUUGCAGGGGAGACUGGAAUUCCUGGUGUAGCGGUGAAAUGCGCAGAUAUCAGGAGGAACACCGGUGGCGAAGGCGGGUCUCUGGGCAACUACUGACGCUGAGGAGCGAAAGCGUGGGGAGCGAACAGG
RNAcentral lists this ribosomal RNA (253 nucleotides) under uncultured bacterium. RNAcentral's name for it is "partial 16S ribosomal RNA". It matches the Rfam family "Bacterial small subunit ribosomal RNA", at positions 524 to 776 of the family's 1533-position model. The record is from RNAcentral.